GACUCUACACAAUGAAAGGUGCUCUUUAUCUCCUUUUAGGAAAUUCCUUAGUUUGUUAAGAAGUGGGCUGGCUCCCAGGCCUCAAACCAUCAGGAAGAUCACUACCCAAGGAAACAAAAAAUGCUCUAAUGCAUCUCAAAGUGUGCUUGGCUAUCAGGCUGGCAAAAAUUGCAGACUCAACAAUCCACUCCUUGCUGCCAACUAAAUGAACUCACUGGGCACACCUGUAUCUUUGAUGCUACAGCUGCCCUAGGAGCUGAGGCCUUUCAGAAGCAUGAAGCCUGCAUUAGAGGAGUGGCUUCUGGACAGUUACUUUGAAGCCUACCAGCAUGCUUUGGACCCAGAGGAGAGAUUUGCCUUAGCACAAGUGAUCACAGACAUUAUGCACAGGUGCCCGAGGUUUGACUUCAGUCAUCCUUACUUCAUUAAGGCCUACCGAGAGGAAUGCACCUGUCUGAGGCUUCACCUGCAGCUGGUGAGGGGCAUCCUCAACCAGCAGAUAGAGUGUCAGCGUGAGUAUGUCCAGAGGCUUUGGCAAAAAGGCCAUCCAGAUGCUAGCAAUACAUUUGGACUUCCCCUUAACAUAAUUUGCAAACAACUCAUUUCCAUCAACAAUAGCUGGUAAGUUGGUGUUGUCUUUAGACAUUUUACAUUUAAUUUCUGGAUAAUUUAAGGGUAUGCUGUUAAGUAUACUACUGUUCUACAAAACACCACUCAAAUAUUUGGUGAUGCUGCUGCUGUUGCUGCUAAGUCACUUCAGUCGUGUCCAACUCUGUGUGACCCCAUAGACGGCAGCCUACCAGGCUCCGCCGUCCCUGGGAUUUUCCAGGCAAGAAUGGGUUGCCAUUUCCUUCUCCAAUGCUUGAAAGUGAAAGUGAAGUCGCUCAGUCGUGUCCGACCCUCAGCGACCCCAUGGACUGCAGCCUUCCAGGCUCCUCCAUCCAUGGGAUUUUCCAGGCAAGAGUACUGGAGUGGGAUGCCAUUGCCUUCUCCGAUUUGGUGAUGAGAGAAGUAAAUAUAAAAGGCAUAGAA
This 1032-nucleotide long non-coding RNA is filed under the name Capra hircus (goat). Its description in RNAcentral is "lncRNA (ENSCHIG00000002634.1)". The record is from RNAcentral. Lineage: Eukaryota; Metazoa; Chordata; Mammalia; Artiodactyla; Bovidae.